UUUAUGUAUUUCCAUGUCUGGUCCAUAGCCAAGUGUCUAUCUAUGAAGGAGACAAAAAGGAUUGUCGCAAGUUCUGCACCACAGGCAUCGAUGGAGCAAUGACCAUUUGGGACUUCAAGAGUCUAGAAGCAUCUAUCCAGGGUCUCCGCAUCAUGUGAAGAAGUCUUGUAAACGAAUGAAGAAAAUGCAGCAGGCCUCAUUCCCCCCCCCCCGCGCCGCUCCUGCGACGCAGCCAGUAACACAAAUAACUGACCCCCUAAUCGAGUGUCUGCUAAAGCACUGAUCAGAACACAGCACACUUGUUUGGGUGUACCAACACUCUCACGCACACACACUUAAGUACACACACACACGCAUACACUACACACACUAAGCUGACGUGUGACAUCACUGUUGAUUUUUUUGUUUGUUUGUUUUUAAAUGAAGGUUAACCAGGUGUCAAAGUGGGAAGGUCCCCUGACACGUAUUCAAACGUGAAGUGAAAUGUGUGUUUUUAUGUUAUCUAACCUCCUGUACCAAAAGUUGACACUAAAAGGUGCGUUUUAUCCAAAAGUCAGACUGCAUUUCACCUCAGAUCAACCUCAACGUGAUCACUGAACAUCAGUGUUUAGUAGAACGGAGGACGUGAUGAUUUGCUUCCUGGAGGAGAGUAAAUAUUCUCCAGCAGGUGAAGUCAUUGUUUAGAUUAGGACCCGGGUUAUUGAUGUUCUGAGGUCACGUUGCAGGUUGGCUGUAGAGAGAUGUGCAGCGUCUGACGGUGGAGAGAGAAAGCAGCUGUCUAAACUCUGUGCGGAGUCACUGCCGAACAGCACUUGGCUCUGUAGCUAUUUCACUAAAACCACACAAGAUGGAGGAUUUCUAUGUAACUGAUCAUGAGGUAGACAUGAAAUAAAGAUGAGGUCAAUUUACAGAACUCAA
Notothenia coriiceps (black rockcod) is the source of this 918-nucleotide long non-coding RNA. RefSeq lists it as uncharacterized. The record is from RefSeq and is a predicted model, not a curated record. The transcript is spliced from 2 exons. NCBI's taxonomy places the organism in Eukaryota, Metazoa, Chordata, Actinopteri, Perciformes, Nototheniidae.